CUCUUCUCCUUCUUUUCUUCUUCUUCCUCCUUCUCUUCUCCCUCUUCUUCUGUUCCUGAUUUAAAAUUGCAACGUGAGUACAUUGAAACCACUGAAGUCCACCUUCCCGGAUUUGGUUCUACAUCAACUUGGUAUCAGAGUAAGGCUGGUUUUGCCCCUGCUGCCAAAGCCCCGAUCCAUCUCCCGGCUACUUCUUCCAAACC
RNAcentral lists this long non-coding RNA (203 nucleotides) under Phoenix dactylifera (date palm). Its description in RNAcentral is "long non-coding RNA (PDAC_LNC021994)". The record is from RNAcentral. Lineage: Eukaryota; Viridiplantae; Streptophyta; Magnoliopsida; Arecales; Arecaceae.